UAUAGGAAGUCAAGACAACAACAACGUGAGUCGCCAGUUUACCGCUGCUGACUCCCUGAUACGCUCACCACACAUAACUCUCCCUCUCCACCCUCACCAUGUCCACCGAGAAGCAGCCAGACACCAAGCCCAAGAUCGACCUGGGCUUGCUGGAGGAGGACGAUGAGUUUGAGGAAUUCCCAGCAGAAGACUGGGGCGCGGCGGAGGAGGACGCGGAGGACAUCAAUGUGUGGGAGGACAACUGGGAUGACGACAACAUUGAGGAUGACUUCUCCCAGCAGCUGAGGGCCGAGCUGAACCUCCAGCCAAUGCAGUAGCAGCAAAUGAAGACUCAGUGUUCUGGACGGAUUCAGUGGUUUUGUAAUAGCUUUGCUUCUGUCUCUUGAUUCAAAGCCAGUCAUUAUUUUCACUCUGUUCUCAUACAUCAAAUAUUUGUAAUAAAAUACUAAAUCCAA
Long non-coding RNA from Scylla paramamosain (green mud crab), 455 nucleotides. RefSeq lists it as uncharacterized. NCBI's taxonomy places the organism in Eukaryota, Metazoa, Arthropoda, Malacostraca, Decapoda, Portunidae. The transcript has 3 exons. The record is from RefSeq and is a predicted model, not a curated record.